This 1212-nucleotide ribosomal RNA is filed under the name Arsenophonus endosymbiont of Pseudolynchia sp. ES-2018. RNAcentral's name for it is "bacterial SSU rRNA". It matches the Rfam family "Bacterial small subunit ribosomal RNA", at positions 38 to 1233 of the family's 1533-position model. The record is from RNAcentral. Lineage: Bacteria; Pseudomonadati; Pseudomonadota; Gammaproteobacteria; Enterobacterales; Morganellaceae.
AUUCGAUUGCUUAACACAUGCAAGUCGAGCGGCAGCGGAAGGAAGCUUGCUUCCUUGCCGGCGAGCGGCGGACGGGUGAGUAAGGUAUGGGGAUCUGGCCGAAGGCGGGGGAUAACCACUGGAAACGGUGGCUAAUACCGCAUAAUCUCUAAGGAGCAAAGUGGGGGACCGUUCUGGCCUCACACCUUCGGAUGAACCCAUAUGAGAUUAGCUAGUAGGUGGGGUAAUGGCUCACCUAGGCGACGAUCUCUAGCUGGUCUGAGAGGAUGAACAGCCACACUGGGACUGAGACACGGCCCAGACUCCUACGGGAGGCAGCAGUGGGGAAUAUUGCACAAUGGGCGCAAGCCUGAUGCAGCCAUGCCGCGUGUAUGAAGAAGGCCUUCGGGUUGUAAAGUACUUUCAGUCGUGAGGAAGGUGUUAAGGUUAAUAACCUUAGCAAUUGACGUUAGCGACAGAAGAAGCACCGGCUAACUCCGUGCCAGCAGCCGCGGUAAUACGGAGGGUGCGAGCGUUAAUCGGAAUUACUGGGCGUAAAGGGCACGCAGGCGGUUAAUUAAGUUGGAUGUGAAAUCCCCGGGCUUAACCUGGGAAUGGCAUUCAAGACUGGUUAGCUAGAGUCUUGUAGAGGGGGGUAGAAUUCCAUGUGUAGCGGUGAAAUGCGUAGAGAUGUGGAGGAAUACCGGUGGCGAAGGCGGCCCCCUGGACAAAGACUGACGCUCAUGUGCGAAAGCGUGGGGAGCAAACAGGAUUAGAUACCCUGGUAGUCCACGCUGUAAACGAUGUCGAUUUGGAGGUUGUGGUCAUGAANCUGUGGCCUCCGGAGCUAACGCGUUAAAUCGACCGCCUGGGGAGUACGGCCGCAAGGUUAAAACUCAAAUGAAUUGACGGGGGCCCGCACAAGCGGUGGAGCAUGUGGUUUAAUUCGAUGCAACGCGAAGAACCUUACCUACUCNUUGACAUCCAGCGAAUCCUUUAGAGAUAGAGGAGUGCCNNUUCGGGAGCGCUGAGNACAGGUGCUGCAUGGCUGUCGUCAGCUCGUGUUGUGAAAUGUUGGGUUAAGUCCCGCAACGAGCGCAACCCUUAUCCUUUGUUGCCAKCGAUUCGGKCGGGRRMYYWUAAGGAGACUGCYRGUGAUAAACUGGAGGAAGGUGGGGAUGAUGUCAAGUCAUCAUGGCCCUUAUGGAGUGGGCUACACACGUGCUACAAUGG